CCUACGGGAGGCAGCAGUGAGGAAUAUUGGUCAAUGGACGCAAGUCUGAACCAGCCAUGCCGCGUGCAGGAAGACGGCUCGAUGAGUUGUAAACUGCUUUUGUACGAGGGUAAACGCAGAUACGCGUAUCUUUCUGAAAGUAUCGUACGAAUAAGGAUCGGCUAACUCCGUGCCAGCAGCCGCGGUAAUACGGAGGUGUCAAGCGUUAUCCGGAUUUAUUGGGUUUAAAGGGUGCGUAGGCGGUCGGUUAAGUUAGAGGUGAAAUCCCGGGGCUCAACUUCGGAAUUGCCUCUGAUACUGUUCGGCUAGAGCGUAGUUGCGGUAGGCGGAAUGUAUGGUGUAGCGGUGAAAUGCUUAGAGAUCAUGCAGAACACCGAUUGCGAAGGCAGCUUACCAAGCUACUUCUGACGUUGAGGCACGAAAGCGUGGGGAGCAAACAGGAUUAGAUACCCCAGUAGUC
This 460-nucleotide ribosomal RNA is filed under the name uncultured bacterium. RNAcentral's name for it is "partial 16S ribosomal RNA". It matches the Rfam family "Bacterial small subunit ribosomal RNA", at positions 338 to 795 of the family's 1533-position model. The record is from RNAcentral.